RNAcentral lists this ribosomal RNA (253 nucleotides) under uncultured bacterium. RNAcentral's name for it is "partial 16S ribosomal RNA". It matches the Rfam family "Bacterial small subunit ribosomal RNA", at positions 524 to 776 of the family's 1533-position model. The record is from RNAcentral.
UACGUAGGCAGCAAGCGUUGUUCGGAAUUACUGGGCGUAAAGAGUGUGUAGGCGGUGCUCUAAGUUUGGUGUGAAAUCUCCCGGCUUAACUGGGAGGGUGCGCCGAAAACUGGAAUGCUUGAACAUGGGAGAGGAAAGCGGAAUUCCUGGUGUAGCGGUGAAAUGCGUAGAUAUCAGGAGGAACACCUGCGGUGUAGACGGCUUUCUGGACCAUAACUGACGCUGAGACACGAAAGCGUGGGUAGCAAACAGG